Non-coding RNA from Chlorocebus sabaeus (green monkey), 2259 nucleotides. The record is from RefSeq and is a predicted model, not a curated record. Lineage: Eukaryota; Metazoa; Chordata; Mammalia; Primates; Cercopithecidae.
AUGUGGCCCCAGGCCCCUCAGACACAGCAUGCAGUGGUGCUGACGGGCUCUGAGCGGGGCAUACAGGUAUACAGUGACCUGCCCAAGGAGGCUCAGCCUCAUGUCGCUUCAGUAUCUCAACAGAAGAACCUUGAAGGCUAUGUGGGAUUUGCCAAUCUCCCAAAUCAAGUAUACAGAAAAUCAGUUAAGACAUCUGGUUUUGAAUUCACGCUAUGGUAGUGGGUGGAACAAUCCAAAGUUUUAAUCAAAGAAGGUGGUGUUCAGUUGCUGCUCACAAUAGUUGAUACCCCAGGAUUUGGAGAUGCAGUGGAUGACAGUAAUUGCUGGCAGCCUUACAAUCAGCUACAUUAAUAGUAAAUUUGAGGACUACCUAAAUGCAGAAUCUCGAGUGAAUAGACGUCAGAUGCCUGAUAACAGGGUGCAGUGUUGUUUAUACUUCAUUGCUCCUUCAGGACAUGGACUUAAACCAUUGAAUAUUGAGUUUAUGAAGCAUUUGCACGAAAGAGUAUCAUCUCACUUAUUGCCAAAGCAGACACACUCACACCAGGGGAAUGCUAACAGUUUAAAAACAGAUAAUGAAAGAAAUCCAAGAACAUAAAAUUAAAAUAUAUGAAUUUCUAGAAACAGAUAAUAAAGAAGAAAAUAAACUUGUUAAAAAGAUAAAGGACCAUUUACCUGUUGCUGUGGUAGGUAAUAAUACUAUCACUGAAGUUAAUGGCGAAACAAUCAGAGGAAGGCAGUAUCCUUGGGGUAUUGCUGAAGUUGAAAAUGGUGAACAUUGUGAUUUUACAAUUCUAAGAAAUAUGUUGAUAAGAACACACAUGCAGGACUUGAAAGAUGUUACUAAUAAUGUUCACUAUGAGAACUACAGAAGCAAAAAACUGGCAGCUAUGACUUAUAAUGGAAUUGAUAACAACAAGAAAAAAGGGCAGCUGACUAAGAGCCCUCCGGCACAAGUGGAAGAAGAAAGAAGGGAGCAUGUAGCUAAAAUGAAGAAGAUGGAGCUGGAGAUGGAGCAGAUGUUUGAGAUGAAGGUCAAAGAAAAAGUUCAAAAUUGAAGAACUCUGAAGUUGAGCUCCAGCGGCACCAUGAGCAAAUGAAAAAAUAAUUUGGAAGCACAGCAUAAAGAAUUAGAGGAAAAACGUCGUCAGAGGACGAGAAAGCAAACCGGGAAGCUCAACAACGUAUUUUAGAACAACAGAACUCUUCGAGAACCUUGGAAAAGAACAAGAAGAAAGGAAGAUCUUUUAAACUCUCCAUUGACCACCAGUUACGUAUUAGUUGCCAAUAUGCCAGCUUGGACAUCAGUGUUUGCUGGAUCCGUUUGACCAAUUUGAGCGUUUUAUCUAGAAUGAUGGAUUAAACAGCAUGACAAACAUUAUUUUUGUUGUUGUUGUUCUUGAUGGAGAUUAAGACGCCUUCAAUUGUCUAUAGGGUGUUGUGUGCUUAGUAACAGCUCUCCCUUUCCUACUUUUUCUUUUUCUUUUUUUAUUAAACAGAUUAUCUUCAGUUGAAUGCAAGAGAACAUUUUACUGUUGUACAAUCAUGUUCUGACGGUUUGAUUGUUUACAGGAUAUUCCAAAAUAAAAGGACUCUGGAAGGUUUUCAUUGAGGACAAAAGGCCAUAAUAUGAUGCAAACUACGCUUCUCUAUGAUAAUGAUAAUACAAAGGUUCCAUUCAGUGCAGCAUAUACAAUGAUGUAAUUUAGUAUAACACAGUUGACCCAUGUUUUGACACUUCCAUUGUUUAAAAACACACAUGGAAAAAAACCCCUACAUGCUUAUAGUGCACCCAGAGCUUUUUUAUAACACCCUCCUUUUGUUUGUUUGUUGUGGAUUCUUUAAAUAUAUAUUAUUCUCAUUUAGUGCCCUCUUUAGCCGGAAUCUCAUUAUUACUUCAUUUUUGUAAUAACAUUUAAUUUAGCUAGUGUCCAUAUAUUGGCCCUGCUAAAAUAGAAUAUAGCAUCUUUCAUACGGUAGGAGCCAACAAGGAAACUUUAACUCCUUUUUACACUUUAUGGUAAGUAGCAGGGGGAAAAAUGCAUGUAUAGAUCAUUUCCAGGCAAAAUUGUGAAGCUAAUGACCAACCUGUUUCUACCUAUAUGCAGUCUCUUAAUUUACUAGAAAUGGGAAUCACGGCCUCUUGAAGAGAAAAAAGUCACCAUUCUGCAUUUAGCUGUAUUCAUAUAUUGCAUUUCUGUAUUUUUUGUUUGUAUUGUAAAAAAUUCACAUAAUAAACGAUGUUGUGAUGUAAAAAAA